This 603-nucleotide ribosomal RNA is filed under the name Triticum aestivum (bread wheat). RNAcentral describes it as "partial small subunit ribosomal RNA". The record is from RNAcentral. Lineage: Eukaryota; Viridiplantae; Streptophyta; Magnoliopsida; Poales; Poaceae.
AUGGCGGCGGCCAAGAUCGCCAUCCUCCUGGUCGCGGCCGCGCUCUUGGCCGCGGCAGGGGCGGCGGACCCCCAACCCCCGCAGCUCUCAACGGAAGCCCAGUGCUGGCCGUGCUACUCCUCCUGCAUGCACACGUGCGACGACGGCCACGGUGGCACCCCCGCCCCCGAUGUCGUCAACUCUACCGAUGGCAGUGCAGUUGGUGUACGCUCCGCCGUCGGCACUCUCGCUGCCAUCCACAAAACCGAGGAUGGUUCAGGCGCCCCCAUUGCCGACGGCUACGACGAGAAAGGUGGCAACAAAGGUGACGGCGAGGAAUACUUCGAGUGCAAGAAGAAGUGCAUCGUCUGUUGCUACAAGGACCUGCCGCCGGUGUGCUACAAGAUGUGCGUCUCCCAGACCUGCCUCGCCCUGCCACCAUGUAAACGAGGGGAUUGCUACAAAGCAUGCGGGAUCAAAUGCUUCCACAACCAGCCGACGCCCACACCUCCUAAGCCCAUGCCACCGCCGCCAUCACCCCCGAAGCCCAUGCCACCGCGGCCGUCGCCCAUUCCACCGAAGCCAUCCCCGCCGAAAGCCGCUGCCAAAGCCACUGGCUACUAG